GCCGCUUGCCCAAUUUUUUGGGCGUUUCCUCCCUACAACUGGCCGCGGCGCUGCCGCGGCCUUUUUUUUGUCCUUG
RNAcentral lists this small RNA (76 nucleotides) under Parvularcula bermudensis HTCC2503. Its description in RNAcentral is "Makes More Granules Regulator RNA (mmgR)". It matches the Rfam family "Makes More Granules Regulator RNA (mmgR)". Rfam says of the family: SuhB later renamed mmgR (makes more granules regulator) was a putative non-coding RNA found multiple times in the Agrobacterium tumefaciens genome and related alpha-proteobacteria. Other non-coding RNAs uncovered in the same analysis include: speF, ybhL, metA, and serC. Lineage: Bacteria; Pseudomonadati; Pseudomonadota; Alphaproteobacteria; Parvularculales; Parvularculaceae. The record is from Rfam by way of RNAcentral.